Molecule: ribosomal RNA, 263 nt
Filed under: uncultured archaeon
Lineage: Archaea
Description: partial 16S ribosomal RNA
Rfam family: Archaeal small subunit ribosomal RNA
Source: RNAcentral
AGGGUGUAAACGCUGCAGACUUGGUGUUGGAAGCCCUUUGGGGGGCAUUCAGUGCCGGAGAGAAGUUGUUAAGUCUGCUACUUGGGGAGUACGUCCGCAAGGAUGAAACUUAAAGGAAUUGGCGGGGGAGGCACCGCAACGGGAGGAGCGUGCGGUUUAAUUGGAUUCAACACCGUAAAACUCACCAGGGAAGACUGUUACAUGAAGGCCGAGAUGAAGACUCUGCUAGAUUUUCAGAGAGGUGGUGCAUGGCGUCAGUGACU